Molecule: long non-coding RNA, 244 nt
Filed under: Phoenix dactylifera (date palm)
Lineage: Eukaryota; Viridiplantae; Streptophyta; Magnoliopsida; Arecales; Arecaceae
Description: long non-coding RNA (PDAC_LNC018302)
Source: RNAcentral
CACUUGAAUGCACUAACUCCCUUGAACCUCUUUCUCUUACUUCUCUCUUGAAUGAUCUUGUGUUGGGUUGGUGAGAAGUUGUUGGAAGGCACUUAAGAGCUCCCUUUUAUAGCCCAAAAAGCAAAUAUAGCCGUUAGACAUAAAGUUAAAGAAGUUUGAAAUUCAAACAAACCUGCAAAAAGUGUGUCAGUCGCGUCCCAGGCGCUCCGGAGACGUCUCCGCUUCAACGCGAGACGUCUCGGCU